AGAGUUUGAUCCUGGCUCAGGAUGAACGCUAGCGGCAGGCUUAACACAUGCAAGUCGAGGGGCAGCGCGAUGUAGCAAUACAUUGGCGGCGACCGGCGAAAGGGUGCGUAACGCGUGAGCAACUUUCCCGUAUCAGGGAGAUAACCGGUGGAAACGCCGACUAAUAUCCCAUAACAACAGAGGCCGCAUGACCUCAGUUUGAGAGAAAUUCGGAUACGGAUAGGCUUGCGAGACAUUAGCUAGUUGGAGUGGUAACGGCACACCAAGGCGACGAUGUCUAGGGGUUCUGAGAGGAAGGUCCCCCACAUUGGAACUGAGACGCGGUCCAAACUCCUACGGGAGGCAGCAGUGAGGAAUAUUGGUCAAUGGACGGAAGUCUGAACCAGCCAUGCCGCGUGAAGGAAUAAGGCCCUAUGGGUCGUAAACUUCUUUUGUGGUGGAGCAAUAAGGUGCACGUGUGCAUCGAUGAGAGUACAUCACGAAUAAGCAUCGGCUAACUCCGUGCCAGCAGCCGCGGUAAUACGGAGGAUGCGAGCGUUAUCCGGAUUUAUUGGGUUUAAAGGGUGCGUAGGCUGUUCUUCAAGUCAGAGGUGAAAUACCGGGGCUCAACCCUGGAACUGCCUUUGAUACUGGAGGGCUUGAAUACUGUUGCCGUGGGAGGAAUGAGUAGUGUAGCGGUGAAAUGCAUAGAUAUUACUCAGAACACCGAUUGCGAAGGCAUCUCACGAAGCAGCGAUUGACGCUGAGGCACGAAAGCGUGGGGAUCAAACAGGAUUAGAUACCCUGGUAGUCCACGCAGUAAACGAUGAU
This 810-nucleotide ribosomal RNA is filed under the name uncultured bacterium. RNAcentral's name for it is "bacterial SSU rRNA". It matches the Rfam family "Bacterial small subunit ribosomal RNA", at positions 8 to 813 of the family's 1533-position model. The record is from RNAcentral.